AUGAAUGGCGAGAGGAAGGUGCACUGGAUUUCAUGGCAGAAAAUGUGUGCUUCCAAGCGUGACGGGGGUAUGGGCUUUCGUGAUCUAGAAGCCUUCAACCAAGCGCUCCUAGCCAAGCAAGCAUGGAUGAUCUUACAAACCCCCACGUCCUUGUGUGCAAGGGUGCUCAAGGCUAGAUAUUUUAAAGAUGGAUCAAUUAUGACAGCAACUUGUCCCUCGUCGGGAUCGUACACUUUUCGGGGUAUAUUGCAUGGUAGGGAUCUGUUGAGGGAAGGGUUGUCUGGCGGAUAG
Molecule: ribosomal RNA, 291 nt
Filed under: Triticum aestivum (bread wheat)
Lineage: Eukaryota; Viridiplantae; Streptophyta; Magnoliopsida; Poales; Poaceae
Description: partial small subunit ribosomal RNA
Source: RNAcentral